UGAAGAAAAGUUAGACGUGCCUCUGU
RNAcentral lists this non-coding RNA (26 nucleotides) under Mus musculus (house mouse). The record is from RNAcentral. Lineage: Eukaryota; Metazoa; Chordata; Mammalia; Rodentia; Muridae.